UAGCCCUCCAGCUGAAAGCACGGCAUAGCAAAUUCGCCUUUUAGAUUCGUGCCCUGUAGGACGGUGCUCUAUUGCAGUCACCCUGCUCUGAAACCACAGACGGAGAGCAAGUGACGAGGCCGGAGCUCCAAUCAACUCAAUGGCGGCACAUUCCAUCUCAAAACUAUCCAGGCUUGGACCAUUCAAUCAGUUCAGAAAAUUGCAGCAAAAAGACUAGCAAGAGCAGCCCCUUCAAAGCGACGUGGGAUGAAUCUACUGAACUCAUGCCCAUUUGUUAUUAUUUGAAGUUGGGAUUUUUUAUGCUGGCAAAAAAACUAGCAAUGGCAGAUUUUUUAUGAUGGACCUCAUGAUGAAUUGUUAUUAUUUUUUAAGCUGGGAAUGUGCAUGUAUUGGACAGGUUUCAAAAAAUUUUUAAAAAUAUAUGAAAAAAAAUUAAAAAAAUUAUUAUAUUA
Molecule: long non-coding RNA, 452 nt
Organism: Carya illinoinensis
Lineage: Eukaryota; Viridiplantae; Streptophyta; Magnoliopsida; Fagales; Juglandaceae
Exons: 2
Source: RefSeq, a predicted model, not a curated record